This 831-nucleotide long non-coding RNA is filed under the name Olea europaea subsp. europaea. The record is from RNAcentral. Lineage: Eukaryota; Viridiplantae; Streptophyta; Magnoliopsida; Lamiales; Oleaceae.
CUAGAACUCAAACCAAACCAAAACCAAAUGGUUAGGUUCGAUUGAUUCCACUUCUUAAAAAAAAUCAUACAAUUUUAUUGUCAAAAAAACCAUUAGUUCAUGGCUUAGUCCGGUGGAACUAGAACAAAAUGGAACCACGUCCACCCCAUAUGUAUUUCAACAUUUGGAUAGUUUCUCUUUUCAUAUCUUGCAACUUUGAAUCCACAUCUUAAAUGAACAUAAUCGAAUUUGAAAUUUGUUUGCCAAGUUAUUCUAGAUUUGAUUCCGAAGGUGGUUAAAUAAAUUUUGAUUCAGGAAAUCAAAAGAAAAUAGGGAGAAAAACAAAAAUCAAUUUCCGAUCCUUUCAUAUUCAUAGAAUAGUCGAAAAAAUUCAAAAGUUAAAAACAAACCAAAACUGUAGAUAGAUGCGAUUAAAAAAAAAAGACUAUGAUUCAAAACACGAGUCGAGCCUUUUUCACUCAAUUUCAUCGAUCUGCUAAGAAUUUCUAAUAAAAAAACACUCGCGAUUUAGGAAAUCAAAUGAAAAUUAAACAAAAAUCAAUUUUCGUUCGUUCAUAUUCAAAGAAUAAUUGCAAAAAGGGGUGAGGAAAAAUGUAGCGAUUUGUUCGAGGCCGUAAUCAAAAUUGAAAAUAGAUUUGAAAGGCACGGAGAAUCGCAGACUAUAUUGCCAACCUUCAAUGCAAGUGAUUCAUCAUUGUUAAAUCGACGCCCUUGCUCUGCAAAUUGGCUUUUCCCCCAUUAUAGUGCAAAAUAAAUCCAAUAAAAAUUCAGAGAAAAUAAUUGAAAAAUCGAUAAAAUUAAAACGAUAAAGAAUCCCCAAAUAUUAAUAAG